UGUAGUCCAAAACUUUAUUUUAUAAGUGGGAAAUGCUUGGGUACUACCAAAAUAAGAAUAAAAUGUUAGUUUAAAUUACAUUUAUAAAGAAACAAUUCCAAAAUAAUUAAUUUAAAAUAAUAGUACUUCCCUUGCACUGAAGAAUGGCAUCUAUAUAUUCUGUCUUCCAACUGGCAUUUAGAGAAACUCUUAGAUACAUAUUUUGAAUAAUAGAUUAAAAUGUUUAAUUAAAAACAUCCAUAUACAUCAAGGUGAAAAUACUCUAAACAGAAAUCACCUUGUUAAAAUUGGUAAGUCAGUUUGGCAACUUGUACUGAUAACAGAUAUAUAUAUAUAUACUGAUAUCUGACAAUAACACGAUUAAGCAUAGAAAAAACUGGCUUGUAUAUCUUCUUGGUUCCUUGUUGUAAAAUUUAUAUUAGUUCAUUUUUUAAAACCUGAACUCAUACUUUUG
Molecule: long non-coding RNA, 454 nt
Filed under: Bos taurus (domestic cattle)
Lineage: Eukaryota; Metazoa; Chordata; Mammalia; Artiodactyla; Bovidae
Description: long non-coding RNA NONBTAT000307
Source: RNAcentral